CCCGGGUGGUGCUCUCCCCAGCGCCAGCCGCGUGUCUCCUCCCCAGAUCCCAGCCUCCCUCCCCCGACCUCUCCCAUCCCUGCUAACAGCGCGGAUCCCGACCCGGGUUCUGGUUCCUCCGGAUAGCCGAGCGCCCCCGGGGGCCUCGGGUUGGGGGGCUGGCGAGCUGGGGAGCGAAGGGCGAGCUGCGAGGACAAACCAUAAGGAAGGUGAAGGAGAAGCCAGUGCACGAGGGCAGCGCAGGGAAGUGCAAACCCAAUGAACAUGCCCGAAAAAUGCUGGAAGGACUGGAGGCCAAGGCUUCUGGCCAGAGGGGAGCUCCCAGAAAGGAAAACCCAGCUCUCCGUGGGGACCCCACCACUGCCUGCAGUGGGUAGACUGGAAAGUUUGGAGCACCUGCCACCAGACUCCCCCCAGGAAGCGGUGGACAGGGACAGUCACUGAUAAAGCAGCCUCAUCCACCUAAUAUCGCCGGUUUCCAAGCCAGUCCACCUCAACCAAAUCAGAUACCGUUGCCUACCAGAGUUGGUCUUGGAAAAGAGUGGCAUUUUGAUCGAAAGUGGCAGCGUAAAGGGAGACCCAUGGAGAAUCUUUCCUGCACUCCUUUAGUUUACACCUUUCUGAUAGCCGUUUUGUUGUGAAGAGAGGGGAGGAUGUUACACACGGCACAUGAUAGGACAUACGUGCGGACAAACAUUGCUGCUGGAACAGACUACGCUGAAAUUCGUACAACAUGAAAUACUGUCAUCCCUCACAUUGUAUUGAGCAGCUGGGAAUUUAUACGAAACUGGGAAGGAACAGGGGAGGCACAGAAGGUUGUCAAGGUGACAGGCUCAUGAGAGACAGAAGGCAGCAUCUUCGUUGUAAGGAAGUAGGGGAAGAUUUAAUCUUGGAAGAGAAUGACAUUCCUGCCUUCAGACCACAGAAGAAUCAGAAAUAAUACAUUUCCAAGAAAAUUUCAAAUGAUGGAUAUAUGCCAGACCAGGAAUUUCCUUCUGAGGGCUUUGGUCGUCUUCGUGAUUUAGGUAGAUGGCAAAAUUAUUUACUGAAAGUAAGGAUGACAGGUGUGGGUUAGGAGCCUUGAGAUGCAUUUUCAAACAGUUGCUGUGGCAAGUGCAAUAGGGAAUCAAUUAGAGUUAAAUAAAAGAAUUGCUGAGUAGCACUUGGGGCCCAGCUGAGGAAUGCAAUCCAAUGCAAUUAAGAAAGAAAGGAAAGAAAGAAAAAGAAAGAAGAAAGAAAGCUCUAUUCUUUACAUUACUAAUAAAAAAGAUGAAGAUACAAGAGAGGCUUUCCUGGAGGAGCUCAGUUUAAAACCUAAAAAGAGAAAAAUGUUAUCAACAGUAAUCAAGGUUGAUGUCGAAGAGGUAUAAUAACAGUAUGGUUUCCACUUGAAAUCAAGCAGAGCACUUUAGGUGUUGGCAGUACAUCUAAGUGAAUUUUUAAAAUAGGAUAAUCUAAAGUAAACUGGCAAAGUCCAUUGAACAAACAAUUAAGUAACUUAAUGGUCUGUGCCUUUGUUUAAUUGGCUAAUUUCUGAAGAUACUGUAGGUUAUAGGCAAUUUCAAGAGGAUAAUAGAUAUAAUGAAACAAGUAGCAGGAAUAUGAAAAAAAAUUUAAAUACAAUUAACCAAUUGAGCCAUAAGUGUGAUAAUGAAAAUCAGUCAUGGAAUUUAAAGGUGGGAUAAAAGUUUUAUACGCUAUUGUUCCUAUUCAUUAUGUUUUACUUUUCCUAAAAUUUCAAAGCAGUGCUGGGGACUGUGAACAUACCUGUGAAUCCAAAGAUAUGGGAAUAAUUAGAAAACAAUAGUCUCCUUUACAGUUCCUACUUGAUUUCUCUUAUUAACCAGCUAGCAGGAGCUAUUCACCAUGUAUAGGUUGCCGUGCUAACCUCACGAACUGAUUCUGGAAGCAAGCCCAGCUUUAUCUUUUGGAGAUUCACAGAUACUCUGUGGCAUGUCACAGGGCUUGGAAAUCUGCCAUUAUUUAUUCAUUCACUGUAGGCACUAAAAGCACUAAAAAUUUUGAGAGAAGCCUGCUAAAACAAAACCGUCUUGGUACAGAACAACCUAGGUGUUGAUUUUCCAACUCUGAUCUGGAGCACAUCCCUGGGCAGAGAGGCAGUAAGAGGGAGACGUGAGGAGAGCGGGUAAUGGUGGAGAGGUGGAAGAGAAUUACAGGCAGAUUUCUGCUUCACGUGUUUCCCCAGGACUGGAAAAUAUUAAGGUCAUUUUAGAAUUCUUUUGCUGACAUCAGAAUGGCAACAAGCAUAAUCUUCAGUACAUGUUGUUA
Molecule: long non-coding RNA, 2289 nt
Organism: Canis lupus familiaris (dog)
Lineage: Eukaryota; Metazoa; Chordata; Mammalia; Carnivora; Canidae
Exons: 5
Source: RefSeq, a predicted model, not a curated record